UACGGAGGGGGCGAGCGUUGUUCGGAUUUACUGGGCGUAAAGCGUGCGUAGGUGGUUUCCCAAGUUAGAAGUGAAAGCCCAGGGCUUAACCCUGGAACUGCUUUUAAAACUGGGUCACUAGAAUGUAGGAGAGGUAGAUGGAAUUCCGAGUGUAGAGGUGAAAUUCGUAGAUAUUCGGAGGAACACCAAUGGCGAAAGCAGUCUACUGGACUAUUAUUGACACUGAGGCACGAAAGCGUGGGGAGCAAACAGG
Molecule: ribosomal RNA, 253 nt
Filed under: uncultured bacterium
Lineage: Bacteria
Description: partial 16S ribosomal RNA
Rfam family: Bacterial small subunit ribosomal RNA
Source: RNAcentral